This 253-nucleotide ribosomal RNA is filed under the name uncultured bacterium. RNAcentral's name for it is "partial 16S ribosomal RNA". It matches the Rfam family "Bacterial small subunit ribosomal RNA", at positions 524 to 776 of the family's 1533-position model. The record is from RNAcentral.
UACGUAGGGACCGAGCGUUGUCCGGAUUCAUUGGGCGUAAAGAGCUCGUAGGCGGCUGUUCAAGUCGAACGUGAAAACUCGGGGCUCAACUCCGAAACUGCAUUCGAUACUGCCGUGCUUGAGGACUGGAGAGGAGACUGGAAUUUACGGUGUAGCGGUGAAAUGCGUAGAUAUCGUAAGGAAGACCAGUGGCGAAGGCGGGUCUCUGGACAGUUCCUGACGCUGAGGCACGAAGGCCAGGGGAGCAAACGGG